Molecule: long non-coding RNA, 5692 nt
Organism: Sceloporus undulatus (fence lizard)
Lineage: Eukaryota; Metazoa; Chordata; Lepidosauria; Squamata; Phrynosomatidae
Exons: 2
Source: RefSeq, a predicted model, not a curated record
UGAGGUGAGCUCCUGUCACUAGUCCCAGCUUCUGCCAACCUAGCAGUUCGAAAGCAUGCAAAUGCAAGUAGAUAAGUAGGUACCACUUUGGUGGGAAGGUAACAACAUUUGGUGCAGUCAUGACCACCAGAGGUGUAUUUGGACAACACUAGUACUUUGGCUUUGUAAUGGAGAUGAGCACCGCCCCCUCCAGUCAGUUAGACUAGACAUAUAUGUCAAGGAACUACCUUUACCUACCUUCACUUAGGUCUCUUACAUUAUACAAUUAUAGGACUUGUGCAUAUAGACUCCUGGGAUUUGUAGUUUCAUGAGGCAUAAUAUUUAGAAUUCUCUGCCAGAGACCUUUAGUGCGUCAGCAAAUAAAUUCUAGGAUUCUGUACGAUGCAGCCACGGCAGCUGAAAUGGUAUCAAAGUGCUAUAAUUGUGUAGUGUGAAAGAGGCAUGGAAUGAAGCAAGCAAGCUACUCUGUUGACUGGCCUAGAUGCCAGGUCCUCAGCCCUGUCAGUUCAGGGGAACUGGAAGGAAUGAGUUAAUUUACAGAGUGGCUCUUUUGAGUUCAAGAGGCAGGCUUAUUAACAAACUGGCUGUGUGAUACAAAAUACAAGCAGGAACCAGACAUGAAGGUAAACUGCCUGAGGGGCUUGCAUAUUUCACAGGGGGCAAAGAGGAGGGAAAUGUAAUUAUAUCUUACAGCAGCAGAGACAAACCAAAAGAAUACCUACAACACCUGAGCAGAAUACCAGAAACGCUGAGGAGGAAAUUGAGAAGAUUAAAAAUAUUAAGAUCAGUACCAUCAGUAUCCUGGCAUCUGUGGCAACUAAUGUCCAUGACGUCUCAUGGUUUUGUUGAUGGCCUCUUUUUCUAGAUUAUUAGAUAUCAUAGCAAUAAUACUAAUAACAAUAAUCCCAUAUUUUAGUUUUAUACAACAGGGAUGGGCAAAUCCUCUUUCAUUAAAAGCAGGAGAUUUGUGAUCCUGGAAGCCUCCAAUAAGCACAUUUCUUCUCUAAACUAAGACAAGGCAGUCCCUUGCUCUUACAUUUUUGACUAAUAAAAGGGAUUGGGGGAAAACUGGAAGUGUCUGGACAUGUUGGUUGGGGAGGGGGCUAUGACUGGCUGUAAAAGGAGAGAGAAAAAUUGGUGUGUUUUUUCUUAUGUACUCCCAAAGCACUUUUAAGUGCACCAUUUCUGCAAUCCUUACAACAAUCCUGUGAGUCCUAAAAAACGCCCUGUGAAAGUGUGUGGUACAGAUGGGCAUGAUGCUCAGGUCAAGUGGCUGUGCACAGUAUUCUGCAACAUUUCAGAGGUGACAGAUUUGACACCACUAUUCUUUAAUGCCAUUUUAAUUGUCAGUUUUGUAAGUUUUUAAUUGAACUAUGUUUUUAGACUAAGCCGCUUUGAGUCCCAAUUUUGGGGGAAAGCGAGGUAUGUAUAAACAAACAAAUAAUAUCUUCAUCUCAACUAUCAUGUCUUGAUUCCUCCCACCUUUGCCUUCCAAUAUUUACCCAUUUUCCAAUAGUCUGUCCUUCACUGACUUCUGUUUUAUCUAUUCACUGAAAGCACUUUUAGUCAGUUUUAGGACUAGCUCUCCUAAAAUGACCAGAGUAGGAUUGCUUUGAGAAACUGUACUGAAACAAUUAUGGCAUCAGUGAAAGGCAGCACUGAAUGAAUAAACAGAGGGGGGACAGUAGAAAGGGAGUCCCACUGUUUUAGGGGUUGUCACACUUUGGGGGCAGGAGUACACAGAAUGGAUGUUUCCCUGAUCUUGUGGUAUGGGAUUUUAAUAAUGCCCAAGUGAAGUUACAAAAAACAUUUGUAGUGUAACCCUUGAUCUUGUCUGUUCAAGUCUACCACAGGUAUUGCAAUCUUUUGAAUUCUCUAGACAUUAGUAUUGUGGCUUCUGUAGUGCAUGGCUCAGAUGCUGGCGAAUCGUCAGUAAAGAAACUCUUCUAGAACAUGGCCACAUAGCCCGAAAAACCCACAAAAAACUAUGGGUGCCGGCCAUGAAAGCAUUUGACUUCCCAUUCUGGAAACAGUUUAUCAAUUCUCAUUAAGCUGCUUUGUUUAAAUGUUGUCAAUGUUGCUGAAGUCAUUAAAUAUGUGCAAAAAUUAAUAUAUUGUACUGCCAGAUUUAGUAGGACAGGAAGGCCUACAGAGAGAGAGAGAGAGAGAGAGAGAGAGAAAUAGGAUUGGCCUCAUCUAAUGCUCUUUCUAGGGAGCAGAACCCAGAUGAACAAUAAUAGAGAAGUAAUUGAAGAGCUGAGAUUGGGGAGCAAUUGAUAAAGAAUGAAAAGAAGGGAAAAAGUGAGAAAUGGAAUAGGGUGGGGAAGUGAUUUAUUUGCCCUCAGAAGUUGUGGCCCUUCAGGUCCUUUAGACCUGAUAAGUUACUGCCAGUUCCCUUGAUCUACUGUAUAUAUUCAUGUAUAAGUCUAGAAAUUUUGGUCGAAAAACUGAUCCAAAAAAACUGAGUCGCCUUAUCCAGGGGUCAAUGUAAGUACUGUAUUCUAAUUCCUAUUUAAAAUGGAUCCAUCCCAUGGUGAAAGGCAAGAGCGUAAUCUAUCCUGGAAGCACUGAUCCCACCCCAUUCUCUCAUCCAUUCGGUCUUUAGUAUGAGCAGAGUUAUGCCUGCUAGAAUUUUCUAAGUUCUUUGGCACUGUUUUCCUUUCCUUCAUCCUUUAGAUUCCCAGGACCCAGGUUGACAACUUCUCUACCAUUCUCUGUAAAUCCCAUGGUCUACUCGAGAAAUGAAAAAGUUAAAUAACAAAUUAAUCCAUGGUAGCUCACCUAAUUCAAACAUUUCUAUAAUGAGUAUUACUGGCAAAGAAUUAAUCCCCCGAUUUCUAACAUUUAAUAUUAUCUUAUUUUCAAAUCUAAGUCAUGCUUUUGCUUGACUUAGACAAGAUAGCUUUACAAGCCAUUGAGAUUCAUAUUUCCAAAUCAGGAAACAUGCAUUUGGCAACUUGACUAGCAAGAUACAUUCUUCUUGCUCCAAAACAUUUUGGACCUAUGUUUCCAAGUCAGUGUGUAGUAAUUUGCUCUGUUGCAUGUAGAAUGGUAGAUUUGCUAGAGCUGGCUGACUGUGUCUGGAUUUUUUGAAAAAGUGGGGAAGGAUAUGUCUGCUUCUGUGGGUGUGUCAGCAGUGUUGACAGUAGCAGCAUCAAAACCUGUUGAAAGGAGAGGCACACAGCAAGGCUACCCUUUGACACCACAGCUGAUAUAGUGCAGCCAGAGUCCAUAACAUAGCCAGAUGAGCCAACGGUCUGAUUCUGUAUAAGGCAGCUUCCUGUAUUCCCACGUUCCAUAUCCUGUGUCUCAAUGCUCAAGGGACUGUCCACAUCAAGAUCCACAACAGUUUUCUCCAGUUAAAAUGGUGUUGUUCGUCAAGUGAAGCCCAUCAUUGGCCCUUUCUAUGCCACCUUGAAACUAGAGAUGAACUACGUUGUAGGCGGUGUCGUCUCUCACCGUAAUAUUGUCAACGUGCACAUCUUUGUUUCCGAAUACUGGUUCUGAUUGAUCCUGCCCUUUUGAUGGAAGCAGGAGGGCUCCAAGAAAGACUCCACCAUGAACCCCUAGAAUGGUGUAUACCUUUUUGGACAGGAUGGGAUGGGAAAGUAAAAAUGAAAUAAUUUUCUUGUUUUUUAAAAAACAUAUCUGGCUCAUUGUUUAAUUAAAGGUUGAAUAGCAAACUAUCUAAAAUAGAUGUAGGGUGGAGCAAUAUCCUAGAAUCCACUCUAGUCAUACUCUGUAUAUAAAACAAAUAGUGUGUCUAGCUGCCCCUCAUCUUGCUCAUUUUAGAGAUCCAUAAAACAGGGUGAUACAUGCAAGAUUUUGCAGGAUCAGAACCUUGCCUGCCCUCACCCUUGCCACCUCCAUUAUCUCAGAAUAGCUGGCCUGUCCAUAAAAGCAAGUUUUCCCACAGUUUAGUGCCUUCAGGGACAGAAUCCAAUUGGUAUUUACAAGCCUAUAACUCCCCCCACCCAUGCAUUGGCACUCCAUAUAUUUUCCUACAUGGGCAGAGAGUGUCUGUCUGUCUGUAUGUGUGUGUGUAUUAGGAUUUCAUUAAAAGGGCACUGAGGUCAAGAGAAUAUCAGUUAACAUGAUUGUGGAAGACGAAUACAGUGGCUCAGAUACAUUGGCUCAGAUCCUACAGGUAGUCGCAACUACCAUAGACCCUUUGACUCAGUAGGAUUUACCCAAGCUCUAAGCCACCAUUAAACAAUUGUUGCAACUGGACAACUCUAGCUGGGAUCACCAACAAGGCUUAAAUCGGUGUCCCCAAGAUAUUGAGGCACUAAAUGAUAACAUACGGAGCGUCACCCAAGGAACUGUUAAUAUUUCCGUGACCUGGAUCCAAAGAGUUGCAUGGCUGUUUCGAAUUGAGUUUUGGACUUGCCCCAAACAGCACUGGCUCAUGUUGUGUGGCAAACCAGUUUUAAAACAGAAGGGAGGGAUAUGGCAUGGGAGUCUGCUGUUCAAAUGGAAAAAUAAGGAAAACUGCUUAAGGCUUUCUGAAGCCUUUGAACACCCAAAAUGUAGUUGUUUGGCACUUCCUUAAAGUCAUAGAGCCUACGGUUUUAGAACUGAAGGGGCAGACAUACAUAAAUUUGAAACUUUAACUACGAGUUCCAUAAGAAUUAACAACUCAGGGCAUUUUUGGCAUAGUUGGUGCAUUGCAUAGUGUAACUACACUGGCAGUGGCAGGAGUACAGAGGCCACAAGUACAGAGUCUGUGAAGGAAGGGAGGCAUUGGGAGAAACAGACUGCUCCAAGAUAGCAGAUUUUAUCUAUCUUCCCUCACCAUCAUUGCGUGACCAGGCAAAAUGUGCAGUUGCUAGCAUAGUGUACCAAAUGGAUUCUAGCCACACAUCUAACCUCUUCAUACAGAUAUACUCUUUUCUGUAAGCAUUUUGAAUUUUCACAUUAUAUUAAUAUAGUGAGAGAGAGAUUGGGUGUGUGAGAGUCUUGCUAUGUUGAUUUUAGUGUAGAGAAGAAUUUUUCAUUGACUGGAUGUUUUUGAGAAACAGUAGGUGACAUGAUACCUAGCGCUGGCAUUGCCCAGAGCACAGACACAUUUUUUUCUUCCACUGCAUCGCUGGUGAAACAUGUUUUGCAGGUUUAUGAAACAACAUAAAAACCUAUACAGUCUGUAAACAGAGCUUAUGAUAGGAUUCAUAUGUAUUCCAUCAGAAAUUAUGUCUGCAUUGCAACAUCUUGAAGCAUACUCCAUCUCUAGCCUUGAGCUGAUCAUGGAUACAAAAGAGAAAUCUGUUUGUAGAACUGAGAUAUGAAAUCUCACUAAAAUGGUCCUGUUCUAUAUGGAAACUUUUGGACUUAGCAUAUGGUAAAGAGAUGGUGGUGGUACUGAAUUAAGCUGGGUGUAUGACUACACUACAUACUAUCAUUUCUUUCUAUUCCAAACAGGCCUGGGAUUUGAAAUUCAGCAAUGUGUUCAGAGAAUUCACUUGGAGAUCCCUAGCCUCUUUUAAAGGAAUUACAGUUACUAGUGUUCUGUGAAGAAAAGUACCACAACAAUUGUGCUCAAGGCUUUGCAUAGCAAACCUAGGUGUGAGCCAAUAAUGUAAAAUAACCAUCUUCAAUAAAUGAGUGUUGUAUGUAUUUACAGUUUCUAAUGAUAAUGUAUCCUUUUUGUUACAAAUAUGAAAAUAAACUUCCAUUUUUAAUUUCCUUUUUUAAA